UAAGACGAACCGUGCGAACGUUAUUCGGAAUCACUGGGCUUAAAGGGCGCGUAGGCGGGCUCGUAAGUCAGGGGUGAAAUCCCACGGCCCAACCGUGGAAGUGCCUCUGAUACUGCGGGCCUCGAGGGGGAUAGGGGCGUGCGGAACUCAGGGUGGAGCGGUGAAAUGCGUAGAUAUCCUGAGGAACACCGGUGGCGAAAGCGGCGCGCUGGAUCCCUUCUGACGCUGAGGCGCGAAAGCCAGGGGAGCAAACGGG
Molecule: ribosomal RNA, 256 nt
Filed under: uncultured bacterium
Lineage: Bacteria
Description: partial 16S ribosomal RNA
Rfam family: Bacterial small subunit ribosomal RNA
Source: RNAcentral